Molecule: RNA transcript, 625 nt
Organism: Mandrillus leucophaeus (drill)
Lineage: Eukaryota; Metazoa; Chordata; Mammalia; Primates; Cercopithecidae
Exons: 3
Source: RefSeq, a predicted model, not a curated record
GGCCCCACACCCUGGGCUCCCGGGAGGCUCGAAGGACAGCGCUGGGUGAUGCCGCACACGGGGAAGGCUCAGCCUGCGCUGCUGCUGCGACUGUGAGGACGCCGGUUCGCCGUCACAGAGCCCAGAACGUGAGUAAAAGCCUCACACUGAAGAAUCCUGGAAGGGUAGCAUAUGAUUCAGGUGGGAUAAAGAUGUUUUGGGAGAAAAAAAUCGAGCAUCACGCAAGACACCUGCAGAACGAGGACAUGAGGGUUCGCAGGAGCGCCCUGAACAAGCUCCGCGUGGGAUGGGCUGAGCAGCUGGAGGGGAGGAACAAGAUGCUGCAGGGCCCAGGGAGGUGCCCAGACGGGGUCCCAGAGGUCGCUGAGCCCCUCCACACCAAGGACAAGAUGGCAGCCUGAGGGCCUGCGAGCUCCAGGCUCUGCGUGAGCUUCCGGAGGGUCAUGGAGAAAGAACACCACGCGUGGGGUCCAAGCACCCACGCCAGAGUUCACAGGAUCUUCACCAUGGAAAUGGCCCACACUUCGCUGACCCCGUAACAACCCCACCUCGGGGUCCGCGCUGCAGCAGAGUCCCAGGGUUCUCCAGCACAUAGCUGGUGCCCAAUAAAACCUAAGUCAAUUGG